GGUCUGUCUUCUAAAGGAGAAAAUGACUCUUUCAAGGUCCUUGCUUUAAUUCAUCAAAAUGUCAUUCCUUCAAUGUCAAACCCUUCCAUCUUAUGUGAUUUCUUGACUAGAUCAUAUGAUAUUGGUGGUGUUAUCAGUGUGAUGGCCUUAAGUGGUCUUUUCAUUCUUAUGACACAACACGGUCUGGAGUAUCGAAAAUUCUAUGAAAAGCUUUAUGCAC
Zea mays is the source of this 220-nucleotide long non-coding RNA. RefSeq lists it as uncharacterized. The record is from RefSeq and is a predicted model, not a curated record. The transcript has 3 exons. NCBI's taxonomy places the organism in Eukaryota, Viridiplantae, Streptophyta, Magnoliopsida, Poales, Poaceae.